This is a non-coding RNA of Acanthosepion pharaonis, 82 nucleotides long. The record is from the annotation of a GenBank genome assembly. NCBI's taxonomy places the organism in Eukaryota, Metazoa, Mollusca, Cephalopoda, Sepiida, Sepiidae.
CUUGAGACACCGGUUCCCGUAGGAUCACCGAAGUUAAGCAACGUUGAGCCUGGUCAGCACCUACAUGGGUGAUCGCUUGGAA